This 305-nucleotide ribosomal RNA is filed under the name uncultured bacterium. RNAcentral describes it as "bacterial SSU rRNA". It matches the Rfam family "Bacterial small subunit ribosomal RNA", at positions 337 to 640 of the family's 1533-position model. The record is from RNAcentral.
UCCUACGGGGCGCAGCAGUGAGGAAUAUUGGUCAAUGGUCGGGAGACUGAACCAGCCAAGCCGCGUGAGGGAUGAAGGUACAGAGUAUCGUAAACCUCUUUUGUCAGGGAACAAAGGCGGGGACGCGUCCCCGGAUGAGUGUACCUGAAGAAAAAGCAUCGGCUAACUCCGUGCCAGCAGCCGCGGUAAUACGGAGGAUGCGAGCGUUAUCCGGAUUUAUUGGGUUUAAAGGGUGCGCAGGCGGUCUGUUAAGUCAGCGGUCAAAGCCCGGGGCUCAACCCCGGCCCGCCGUUGAGACUGGCAGG